AGUGAACGCUGGCGGUAGGCCUAACACAUGCAAGUCGAACGGCAGCACAGUAAGAGCUUGCUCUUACGGGUGGCGAGUGGCGGACGGGUGAGGAAUACAUCGGAAUCUACUUUUUCGUGGGGGCUAACGUAGGGAAACUUACGCUAAUACCGCAUACGACCUACGGGUGAAAGCAGGGGAUCUUCGGACCUUGCGCGAUUGAAUGAGCCGAUGUCGGAUUAGCUAGUUGGCGGGGUAAAGGCCCACCAAGGCGACGAUCCGUAGCUGGUCUGAGAGGAUGAUCAGCCACACUGGAACUGAGACACGGUCCAGACUCCUACGGGAGGCAGCAGUGGGGAAUAUUGGACAAUGGGCGCAAGCCUGAUCCAGCCAUACCGCGUGGGUGAGGAAGGCCUUCGGGUUGUAAAGCCCUUUUGUUGGGAAAGAAAAGCAGCAGGUUAAUACCCCGCUGUUCUGACGGUACCCAAAGAAUAAGCACCGGCUAACUUCGUG
RNAcentral lists this ribosomal RNA (492 nucleotides) under uncultured bacterium. Its description in RNAcentral is "partial 16S ribosomal RNA". It matches the Rfam family "Bacterial small subunit ribosomal RNA", at positions 29 to 507 of the family's 1533-position model. The record is from RNAcentral.